This is a long non-coding RNA of Oncorhynchus nerka (sockeye salmon), 2368 nucleotides long. RefSeq lists it as uncharacterized. Lineage: Eukaryota; Metazoa; Chordata; Actinopteri; Salmoniformes; Salmonidae. The transcript has 3 exons. The record is from RefSeq and is a predicted model, not a curated record.
GUGUGUGUAGGUAAGUAAAGAAAUAAAACAACAGUAAAAAGACAUUUGAAAAUAACAGUAGUAAGGCUAUAUACAGACACCGGUUAGUCAGGCUUAUUGAGGUAGUAUGUACAUGUAGGUAUGGUUAAAGUGACUAGGCAUAUAUGAUGAACAGAGAGUAGCAGUAGCGUAAAAAGAGGGGUUGGCGGGUGGUGGGACACAAUGCAGAUAGCCCGGUUAGCCAAUGUGCGGGAGCACUGGUUGGUCGGGCCAAUUGAGGUAGUAUGUACAUGAAUGUAUAGUUAAAGUGUCUAUGCAUAUAUGAGAAACAGAGAGUAGCAACAGUGUAAAAGAGGGGUGGGGGGGGCACACAAUCCAAAUAGUCUGGGUAACCAUUUGGUUACCUGUUCAAGAGUCUUUUGGCUUGGGGGUAAAAACUGUUGAGAAACCUUUUUGUCCUAGACUUGGCACUCCGGUACCAUUGCCCAGUCUAUGACUGGGGUGGCUGGGGUCUUUGACAAUUUUUAGGGUCUUCCUCUGUCACCACCUGGUGUUGAGGUCCUGGAUGGCAGGCAGCUUUGCCCCAGUGCUGUACUGGGCCAUAUGCACUACCCUCUGAAGUGCCUUGCGGUCGGAGGCCGAGCAAUUGCCAUACCAGGCAGUGAUGCAACCGGUCAGGAUACUCUCUAUGUUGCAGCUGUAGAACCUUUUGAGGAUCUCAGGACCCAUGCCAAGUCUUUUUAGUUUCCUGUUGAGGGAUAGGUUGUUAUUCUGGCACCACCCGGCCAGGUCUCUGACCUCCUCCCUAUAGGCUGUCUCGUCUUUGUCGGUGAUCAGGCCUACCAACUUGGAGAGGAUGAGUAAAAUGCAGAGGACUUUAGAGGGCCUGACUAAAGGUAACAAGUUCAAUGACACAUGGAAGUAUUGUAUCAUUAUUCAGACUUAGUUUGACUGAGGUCACUACAGUUCAAAAAGGUUGUAUUUCAAUGUCUCAACCAACGCCAUGUGAUUCAUCUGAAUGAAAGUUUCAAACAGCAUUUGAAAGAUGAAUAGCUGUGAAGUGGAUAUAAAUUACAAUGAUUUUGCUCUCUCAAUGUUAAUGUUACAACAAUGCUCAUGCUAUUGUGAAAAUGAGAGGCUUGUAGGAAAUGUGUCCAACUUCCAUUGAAGACUAUUCUGUUUUGUCUUGAAACUGAGGUCUGGAGCAAAGGGGCCCCCACACCUGCCAGGGAAAUUCCCAAGCCCCACCCAUCGAGCCACUACCUAGGACAGCAUCUCACUUGUCACUGCUAAGUUAACUUGAGUCGGUUUCCUCAUUGUGUGAAUGGUUAAAUGUACUUUUACCAUGUUGAUAAAUGUCAUAAAUACAUAUAUUUAUUUUUUACAGGUACAUAUUUGUAUGUUGACAUUUGCCUGUGAAAAAAUGUGAAUAACGAGGUGCAGGCAAUGAACCAGCUGAGUCAUCCCAACAUCCUCCAGCUCUAUGAGGUCUUUGAGGCCAAACACCAGCUGGUGUUAAUUCUGGAAUAUGUUGAGGGUGGAGAGCUGUUUGAAAGGAUCGUGGAUGAGAGUGCACCGCCGACCGAGGUGGAUGCCAUGGUGUUUGCCAAGCGGAUCUGCGAAAAGGUCAGCUACAUGCAUCAGUUGUACGUCCUCCACCUCGGCCUGAAAGUGAGUAUGGUGGUCUCGAUAUGCAUCGUCUCAAACCAGAUUUUAAGGCCCACCACCAACUGUCACAAAUGACAAGACACAUUUUAAUCACCACUUGAAUGAAGCACUGCGUGGUCACUCACCAUGAAUCAAAGAGGCACUCAUGCAUGUGUCGGUGUCAUGAAAAGUAAUCAAUGGUUCUUUUAUCCACUACAAUGUUUACAACCGGAGAAUAUCCUUUGUGUGAAUCACACUGGCCAUCAGGUGAAGAUUAUCGACUUUGGGCUGGUCAGAAGAGGACGAAUAAGUGCUGCACAGUGUCUAAGACGCCCGUGGCUCAACAACAUUGCAGAGAAGGCCAAGGGCAGCAAUAUAGUACUGAAGUCCCAGGUCCUACUGAAGAAAUACCUGGCGAAGAGACUAUGGAAGAUCAUCAGUUCAACAGAUUUCCUACACCACACGUUACUCUGGUUCAUUUUGUGGUUAGGAGAUAUAUUGUUUACAUUACAGUAGUUUUAUCGUCUUUGCACUGCAAUCAACUUCAUGUAAAUUGAUUCUGGUCUACCAGUUGAUGAGAUGCAACGAAGAUUCCUGCCUUGCCUUGUAUGUUGUAAAUGUGCUUCUGACCUCUUCCGUUGGACUGCAUUCCUAUAAAGACUUCCCUCACAAUCAGUCAGAAGAUCCUCAUCUUGGUCUGUCUGUGUAAAAUAAACUGGUGUGUGAUUAAAUAGUGGCUACG